AACGAACGCUGGCGGCAUGCCUAACACAUGCAAGUCGAACGAGACCUUCGGGUCUAGUGGCGCACGGGUGCGUAACGCGUGGGAACCUGCCCUUAGGUUCGGAAUAACUCCCCGAAAGGGGUGCUAAUACCGGAUAAUGUCUUCGGACCAAAGAUUUAUCGCCUUUGGAUGGGCCCGCGUUGGAUUAGCUAGUUGGUAGGGUAAAAGCCUACCAAGGCGACGAUCCAUAGCUGGUCUGAGAGGAUGAUCAGCCACACUGGGACUGAGACACGGCCCAGACUCCUACGGGAAGCAGCAGUGGGGAAUAUUGGACAAUGGGCGAAAGCCUGAUCCAGCAAUGCCGCGUGAGUGAUGAAGGCCUUAGGGUUGUAAAGCUCUUUUACCCGGGAUGAUAAUGACGGUACCGGGAGAAUAAGCUCCGGCUAACUCCGUG
Molecule: ribosomal RNA, 433 nt
Filed under: uncultured bacterium
Lineage: Bacteria
Description: partial 16S ribosomal RNA
Rfam family: Bacterial small subunit ribosomal RNA
Source: RNAcentral